RNAcentral lists this ribosomal RNA (1084 nucleotides) under Salinivibrio sp. S2. Its description in RNAcentral is "bacterial SSU rRNA". It matches the Rfam family "Bacterial small subunit ribosomal RNA", at positions 39 to 1136 of the family's 1533-position model. Lineage: Bacteria; Pseudomonadati; Pseudomonadota; Gammaproteobacteria; Vibrionales; Vibrionaceae. The record is from RNAcentral.
CCUGCGCGCCCUACACAUGCGAGUCGAGCGGAACGGCAGUAUUGAAGCUUCGGUGGAUUUACUGGACGUCGAGCGGCGGACGGGUGAGUAACGGCUGGGAACCUGCCCUGACGAGGGGGAUAACCGUUGGAAACGACGGCUAAUACCGCAUAAUGUCUACGGACCAAAGGUGGCCUCUACAUGUAAGCUAUCGCGUUGGGAUGGGCCCAGUUAGGAUUAGCUAGUUGGUAAGGUAAUGGCUUACCAAGGCGACGAUCCUUAGCUGGUUUGAGAGGAUGAUCAGCCACACUGGGACUGAGACACGGCCCAGACUCCUACGGGAGGCAGCAGUGGGGAAUAUUGCACAAUGGGGGAGACCCUGAUGCAGCCAUGCCGCGUGUGUGAAGAAGGCCUUCGGGUUGUAAAGCACUUUCAGCAGUGAGGAAGGUGGUGUACUUAAUACGUGCAUGGCUUGACGUUAGCUGCAGAAGAAGCACCGGCUAACUCCGUGCCAGCAGCCGCGGUAAUACGGAGGGUGCGAGCGUUAAUCGGAAUUACUGGGCGUAAAGCGCAUGCAGGCGGUUUGUUAAGUCAGAUGUGAAAGCCCGGGGCUCAACCUCGGAACCGCAUUUGAAACUGGCAGGCUAGAGUCUUGUAGAGGGGGGUAGAAUUUCAGGUGUAGCGGUGAAAUGCGUAGAGAUCUGAAGGAAUACCAGUGGCGAAGGCGGCCCCCUGGACAAAGACUGACGCUCAGAUGCGAAAGCGUGGGUAGCAAACAGGAUUAGAUACCCUGGUAGUCCACGCCGUAAACGCUGUCUACUUGGAGGUUGAGGUUUAAGACUUUGGCUUUCGGCGGCUACGGCAUUAAGUAGACCGCCUGGGGAGUACGGCCGCCAAGGUUAAAACUCAAAUGAAUUGACCGGGGACCGCACAAGCCGGUGGAGCAUGUGGUUAGUCGAUGCACGCCGAAAACCUUACCUACUCUGACAUCAGAGAACUUUCAGAGAUGAUGUGCUCGAGCUCUGAAAAGGUGCUGCAUGCUGCGUCAGCUCGGUGGGAUGUCGUUAGUUCCGCACGAGCCAUCUACUGCUGCAGCCUUAAGUGA